Molecule: ribosomal RNA, 473 nt
Filed under: uncultured organism
Description: partial 16S ribosomal RNA
Rfam family: Bacterial small subunit ribosomal RNA
Source: RNAcentral
GUACACUCCUACGGGAGGCAGCAGUAGGGAAUCUUCCACAAUGGGUGCAAACCUGAUGGAGCAAUGCCGCGUGAGUGAAGAAGGUCUUCGGAUCGUAAAGCUCUGUUGUUAGAGAAGAACACGUGCUAGGUAACUACUAGCGCCUUGACGGUAUCUAACCAGAAAGUCACGGCUAACUACGUGCCAGCAGCCGCGGUAAUACGUAGGUGACAAGCGUUGUCCGGAUUUAUUGGGCGUAAAGGGAGCGCAGGCGGUCUGUUUAGUCUAAUGUGAAAGCCCACGGCUUAACCGUGGAACGGCAUUGGAAACUGACAGACUUGAAUGUAGAAGAGGAAAAUGGAAUUCCAAGUGUAGCGGUGGAAUGCGUAGAUAUUUGGAGGAACACCAGUGGCGAAGGCGAUUUUCUGGUCUAACAUUGACGCUGAGGCUCGAAAGCGUGGGGAGCGAACAGGAUUAGAAACCCCUGUAGUCCC